CGAACGCUGGCGGCAUGGAUUAGGCAUGCAAGUCGAACGAUGAAGCAGAAGCUUGCUUCUGUGAAUUAGUGGCGAAAGGGUGAGUAACGCGUGAGUAAUCUGCCCCUAAGUUGGGAAUAGCCUCGGGAAACCGGGAUUAAUACCGAAUGUGAACUUCUGUCGCAUGUCAGAAAGUUUAAAGAUUUAUCGCUUAGGGAUGAGCUCGCGUCCCAUUAGCUUGUUGGUAAGGUAACGGCUUACCAAGGCAACGAUGGGUAGCUGGUCUGAGAGGAUGAUCAGCCACACUGGGACUGAGACACUGCCCAGACUCCUACGGGAGGCUGCAGUCGAGAAUCUUCCGCAAUGGGCGAAAGCCUGACGGAGCAAUGCCGCGUGCAGGAUGAAGGCCUUUGGGUUGUAAACUGCUGUCACCAGGGAAGAACAAAAUGACGGUACCUGGAGAGGAAGCACCGGCUAACUAC
RNAcentral lists this ribosomal RNA (461 nucleotides) under uncultured bacterium. RNAcentral describes it as "bacterial SSU rRNA". It matches the Rfam family "Bacterial small subunit ribosomal RNA", at positions 30 to 504 of the family's 1533-position model. The record is from RNAcentral.